This 418-nucleotide long non-coding RNA is filed under the name Zostera marina. Its description in RNAcentral is "long non-coding RNA (ZMAR_LNC002849)". Lineage: Eukaryota; Viridiplantae; Streptophyta; Magnoliopsida; Alismatales; Zosteraceae. The record is from RNAcentral.
UCCUGUGUUGUUCUCUGUUAACUUUAGUAUUUAUUUAUCAUCUAAAAACAACUAAACAAUACUUAAUUAAACGGGUCCUUCUUCCAGUUACCUGGUCAAGAAUAGAGGUUGACUACUUUGCGCAAAUCCCUUAUCCAGUUAUCUGGUCAAGUAUCUGAGGUUAUUUUUCAUUGUUCAAAUCUCUAUCUAGUUAUCUGGUCAAGCUUUUACUUAUCAUAUAUACAUCCAGUUAACUGGUCAUUUACUCUAUAUUAUAAAGUGCACUUAUAAUAUAACUUAGUAUCUAUAUACUACAGUUGUUUAUAAAGCACUAUCUAUACUGUAGUAAACAUUCAAGAGAAAAGGCAAGUUUAUAUAAGGCGCGAUUUUGGGACGGUCGCUUUUUCGAAUGGUCCCUUUUGCGGACCUCCGAUUCGGC